GACGAACGCUGGCGGCGUGCCUAAUACAUGCAAGUAGAACGCAGUUGCGAACGGGUGAGUAACGCGUAGGUAACUGCCUGGUAGCGGGGGAUAAAUAUUGGAAACGAUAGCUAAUACCGCAUACCACUAGAUGGACCUGAGGUGUAUUAGCUAGUUGGUGGGGUAAAGGCUCACCAAGGCAACGAUACAUAGCCGACCUGAAAGGGUGAUAGGCCACACUGGGACUUGUGAAAGGCCCAGACUCCUACGGGAGGCAUCAGGAGGGAAUCUUCGGCAAUGGACGGAAUGCUGACCGAGCAACGGCGCGUGAGUGGAGAAGGUUUUCGGAUCGUAAAGCGCUGUUGUAAGAGAAGCGGUAUCUUACCAGAAAGGGACGGCUAACUACGUGCCAGCAGCCGCGGUAAUAC
Molecule: ribosomal RNA, 407 nt
Filed under: uncultured bacterium
Lineage: Bacteria
Description: partial 16S ribosomal RNA
Rfam family: Bacterial small subunit ribosomal RNA
Source: RNAcentral